GGGGUUGUGGCUUAGUGGUAGAGUGCAUGUCUAGCAUGUACGAGGCCCUGUGUUCGAUUCUCAGCACUGCA
This 71-nucleotide transfer RNA is filed under the name Marmota monax (woodchuck). RNAcentral's name for it is "tRNA.Ala". The record is from RNAcentral. Lineage: Eukaryota; Metazoa; Chordata; Mammalia; Rodentia; Sciuridae.